CCUACGGGUGGCUGCAGUGGGGAAUAUUGGACAAUGGGGGCAACCCUGAUCCAGCCAUGCCGCGUGUGUGAAGAAGGCCCUCGGGUUGUAAAGCACUUUCAGUGAGGAAGAACGCCUGGUGGUUAAUACCCAUCAGGAAAGACAUCACUCACAGAAGAAGCACCGGCUAACUCCGUGCCAGCAGCCGCGGUAAUACGGAGGGUGCGAGCGUUAAUCGGAAUUACUGGGCGUAAAGCGCGCGUAGGUGGCUUGAUAAGCCGGUUGUGAAAGCCCCGGGCUCAACCUGGGAACGGCAUCCGGAACUGUCAAGCUAGAGGGCAGGAGAGGAAGGUAGAAUUCCCGGUGUAGCGGUGAAAUGCGUAGAGAUCGGGAGGAAUACCAGUGGCGAAGGCGGCCUUCUGGACUGACACUGACACUGAGGUGCGAAAGCGUGGGUAGCAAACAGGAUUAGAUAACCGAGUAGUC
Molecule: ribosomal RNA, 465 nt
Filed under: Vreelandella stevensii
Lineage: Bacteria; Pseudomonadati; Pseudomonadota; Gammaproteobacteria; Oceanospirillales; Halomonadaceae
Description: partial 16S ribosomal RNA
Rfam family: Bacterial small subunit ribosomal RNA
Source: RNAcentral